This 461-nucleotide unclassified non-coding RNA is filed under the name Plectosphaerella sp. Jul4e. RNAcentral describes it as "partial contains ITS1, 5.8S rRNA and ITS2". The stretch from base 140 to 293 matches the Rfam family "5.8S ribosomal RNA". Lineage: Eukaryota; Fungi; Ascomycota; Sordariomycetes; Glomerellales; Plectosphaerellaceae. The record is from RNAcentral.
CUGAGUACUACACUCUCUACCCUUUGUGAACUAUUAUACCUGUUGCUUCGGCGGCGCCCGCGAGGGUGCCCGCCGGUCUCAUCAGAAUCUCUGUUUUCGAACCCGACGAUACUUCUGAGUGUUCUUAGCGAACUGUCAAAACUUUUAACAACGGAUCUCUUGGCUCCAGCAUCGAUGAAGAACGCAGCGAAACGCGAUAUGUAAUGUGAAUUGCAGAAUUCAGUGAAUCAUCGAAUCUUUGAACGCACAUGGCGCCUUCCAGUAUCCUGGGAGGCAUGCCUGUCCGAGCGUCGUUUCAACCCUCGAGCCCCUGUGGCCCGGCGUUGGGGAUCUGUCACGGCAGGCCCCUAAAACCAGUGGCGGACCCGAAGGCCCUCUCCUUUGCGCAGUAGCAUCAGCCUCGCAUUGGGAUCCCUCGGCGUCCUGCCUCUAAACCCCCCACAAGUCCGCUCCGGCGGCAC